This 254-nucleotide ribosomal RNA is filed under the name uncultured bacterium. RNAcentral describes it as "partial 16S ribosomal RNA". It matches the Rfam family "Bacterial small subunit ribosomal RNA", at positions 524 to 776 of the family's 1533-position model. The record is from RNAcentral.
GACGUAGGGGACGAGCGUUGUCCGGAUUCAUUGGGCGUAAAGCGCGCGUAGGCGGUUACGCAAGUCGGGUGUGAAACCUCCAGGCUCAACCUGGAGACGCCACCCGAUACUGUCAUGACUAGAGUCCGGUAGGGGAGCGUGGAAUUCCUGGUGUAGCGGUGAAAUGCGCAGAUAUCAGGAGGAACACCAGCGGCGAAGGCGGCGCUCUGGGCCGGUACUGACGCUGAGGAGCGAAAGCGUGGGUAGCAAACAGG